CGGAGGAGCAUGUGGUUUAAUUCGUAUGAUACGCGAGGAACCUUACCUGGGCUCGAACGUAAGAUGACUGUAGGUGAAAGCUUACAUCUCUUCGGAGCAUUUUACGAGGUGCUGCAUGGUUGUCGUCAGCCCGUGCCGUGAGGUGUCGGGUUAAGUCCCAUAACGAGCGCAACCCCUACCUUAGUUGCCAUCAGGUUAAGCUGGGGACUCUAAAGGAACUGCCUACGCAAGUAGUGAGGAAGGCGGGGAUGACGUCAAAUCAGCACGGCCCUUACGUCCAGGGCUACACACGUGCUACAAUGGCCGAUACAGAGGGCAGCUACCUGGUGACAGGAUGCAAAUCUCCAAAGUCGGUCUCAGUUCGGAUCGGAGUCUGCAACCCGACUCCGUGAAGUUGGAUUCGCUAGUAAUCGCGCAUCAGCCAUGGCGCGGUGAAUACGUUCCCGGGCCUU
RNAcentral lists this ribosomal RNA (452 nucleotides) under uncultured Sphingobacteriales bacterium. Its description in RNAcentral is "bacterial SSU rRNA". It matches the Rfam family "Bacterial small subunit ribosomal RNA", at positions 930 to 1382 of the family's 1533-position model. Lineage: Bacteria; Pseudomonadati; Bacteroidota; Sphingobacteriia; Sphingobacteriales. The record is from RNAcentral.